This 1032-nucleotide long non-coding RNA is filed under the name Oryctolagus cuniculus (rabbit). RNAcentral describes it as "lncRNA (ENSOCUG00000036783.1)". Lineage: Eukaryota; Metazoa; Chordata; Mammalia; Lagomorpha; Leporidae. The record is from RNAcentral.
AUGACGCAGGAGGCCACCCAGAUCCCAGCAGCAGGGCAGGCCUUCAGGCCAACAGUUCCCGCACUUGGGCUGCCCUGCGCCACGGGCGGCUCGGCGGGGUCUGUUUCUCAUCAGCGGCUCUGGGUCUUGAGGAAACCGAGGCUUGAGGCCAGCCAGCAUCCUUGUGGUUUUGGAAGGAAGCAGAAGCCAAGUCCUCUAGUUCCUGGGGCCUCUGCAUUCAUAAGCCCACACAAGCGUGUGCAUACAUACACGCACACAUAUGCAUAUGCACCACAUGUGCAUAUGCACACACAGACACAUGCACCACACAUGCAUAUACACGGACAUGCACACACACUACAAUGCAUGUGCACACACAUGCACACACAUGCAGUGCACAUGCAUAUGCAUACCCACACAUGCACACCACAAUGCACAUGUUCCACAAUGCAUACACAUGCACACACACCGCUAUACACACACAUGCACUACACAUACAUAUGCAUAUCCACACAUGCACACACAAUGCACAUGUACCACAAUGCAUAUUGCACACAAGGCACAUGUACCACACAUGCAUAUGCACACACAUGCACUACACAUGGGCAUGCACACACAAUGCACAUGUACCACAAUGCAUAUUGCACACAAGGCACGUGUACCACACAUGCAUACACAUGUGCAUGCACACACACCACACAUGCAUAUGCACACACAGGCACCACACAUGCAUGCACACACUCCACACACAUACGCAUGUGCGCACAUAUUCAGACACCCACACAGGAGUCAGCAGGCACGUCUUCACACAUACAGUCAAUCAUGUGCACACACUGGGCUCAGGGCUGCAGCAGCAAGAGGGAGCCUGGGUUCUGGGAGCCGGGAAGGCCCCGGUCUGAGAGGGCCUCCCCAGGCUGUCCCAGCUUCUCCUGGCUCUGUCACUUCCUCUUCAGGCCGUUUGACACUGGUACAGGGGAGGCCAUGACCUAUGGCAUCAACUCUGAAGGCUCCCCCUGCCUGCCUGUCCUUGCCAGGGGGCUCCCAGGCUCAUGA